Molecule: ribosomal RNA, 253 nt
Filed under: uncultured bacterium
Lineage: Bacteria
Description: partial 16S ribosomal RNA
Rfam family: Bacterial small subunit ribosomal RNA
Source: RNAcentral
CACGUAAGGGGCGAGCGUUGUUCGGAAUUAUUGGGCGUAAAGGGCACGCAGGCGGUUAUACAAGUCUGGUGUGAAAUACCUGGGCUUAACUCAGGAAACGCACUGGAAACUGUAUGACUAGAGUCUUGGAGGGGGAGUUGGAAUUCCUAGUGUAGGGGUGAAAUCUGUUGAUAUUAGGAAGAACACCGGUGGCGAAGGCGAACUCCUGGCUGAAGACUGACGCUGAGGUGCGAAAGCAUAGGGAGCAAACAGG